This 424-nucleotide ribosomal RNA is filed under the name uncultured bacterium. RNAcentral's name for it is "partial 16S ribosomal RNA". It matches the Rfam family "Bacterial small subunit ribosomal RNA", at positions 360 to 776 of the family's 1533-position model. The record is from RNAcentral.
AAUUUUUGACAAUGGGGGAAACCCUGAUCCAGCCACCCCGCGUGUGCGAUGAAGGCCUUCGGGUUGUAAAGCACUUUUGUUAGGGAAGAAAAGGUUCCGGCUAAUACCCGGAACUGAUGACGGUACCUGAAGAAUAAGCACCGGCUAACUACGUGCCAGCAGCCGCGGUAAGACGUAGGGUGCAAGCGUUAACCGGGAUUCUUGGGGGUAAAGCGUGCGCAGGCGGGUCGGAAAGAAGGAUGUGAAAUCCCAGGGCUCAACCUUGGAACUGCAUUCUUAACUACCGAACUAGGGUAUGUCAGAGGGGGGUAGAAUUCCGCGUGUAGCAGUGAAAUGCGUAGAUAUGCAGAGGAAUACCGAUGGGGAAGGCAGCCCCCUGGGAUAAUACUGACACUCAUGCACGCAAGCGUGGGUAGCAAACAGG